UCUCUGGUAGUAUAUCGGAUAGUACACCCGCCUGUCAUGUCAUGGUGCGCGGGAGAGCGGGGUUCGACUCCCCGCCAGAGAG
Molecule: non-coding RNA, 82 nt
Organism: Rhizopogon vinicolor AM-OR11-026
Lineage: Eukaryota; Fungi; Basidiomycota; Agaricomycetes; Boletales; Rhizopogonaceae
Source: the annotation of a GenBank genome assembly